AUUGAACGCUGGCGGCAGGCCUAACACAUGCAAGUCGAACGAGUGGCGGACGGGUGAGUAAUGUCUGGGGAGCUGCCUGAUGGAGGGGGAUAACUACUGGAAACGGUCGCUAAUAACGCAUACUAUCGGAUGUGCCCAGAUGGGAUUAGCUAGUGGGUGGGGUAACGGCUCACCAAGGCGACGAGCCCUAGCUGGUCUGAGAGGAUGACCAGCCACACUGGAACUGAGAGACGGACCAGACGCCGACGGGAGGCAGCAGUGGGGAAUAUUGCACAAUGGGCGCAAGCCUGAUACAGCCAUGCCGCGUGUAUGAAGAAGGCCUUAGGGUUGUAAAGUACUUUCAGCGGGGAGGCGUUACCCGCAGAAGAAGCACCGGCUAACUCCGUGCCAGCAGCCGCGGUAAUUC
Molecule: ribosomal RNA, 406 nt
Filed under: uncultured bacterium
Lineage: Bacteria
Description: partial 16S ribosomal RNA
Rfam family: Bacterial small subunit ribosomal RNA
Source: RNAcentral